CUCCCAAGCUUUUUCCCUCCAAGUGGCUGUGCAGUUCUGUCCUGCUGACUGCUAACAUAGCUUCAUCUCUUCAAAAGACAAGACAACAGGUAUCUUCCACCAAGAUGUCUGUUGAAAUGGAAAUGACCUUACCCACUACACCAAGGGUAAUCAUCAUGGAAAUAGCUCGAUGUCUGCAACCCGGUGGAUGGUCAGUAUGGAGGAGAAGGUAUUUUUCCAGCCUGAGCAACUACAUGACUUUGCCAGCGUCCUUGCUGUCUUUCUUGGGUCAUAUUCUGUCUUCAAUCUGGAGUAUCAGGAGUCAGCAUCCACCACGCUGGAGAUGAUACAACGGCAAGUACUCUACACCAAGCCAUUUAUGAAUUAAAUUUAAUGACAGUUUGACUGAUGAUGAAGAACCAUAGCUGAUUGCUGUAUUGUACGUCUUCAUUAAAAAAUACAAUUAAUAUAUUUUAUUUCUGUUAAAAGAUUCCUUGUGAGGAUCAAUCCAGAUGUUGGUACCAAAUGCACAGCCAAAGUUGGUACAAGCCGCAAGACGGGAAGUCUUGUCAAGAGGAAAGUAGUCAGUGUCAACUCCCAGAUCACCACCUUCUUCCAACAACUUGCUGAAUUUGAAUGGAGGACUUCCAACUAGUUCAGCUUCCACAAGAUGGAUCCCACUGAUUUUGUUUGAC
Long non-coding RNA from Xiphophorus maculatus (southern platyfish), 674 nucleotides. RefSeq lists it as uncharacterized. The transcript has 4 exons. The record is from RefSeq and is a predicted model, not a curated record. NCBI's taxonomy places the organism in Eukaryota, Metazoa, Chordata, Actinopteri, Cyprinodontiformes, Poeciliidae.